This 722-nucleotide long non-coding RNA is filed under the name Callithrix jacchus (white-tufted-ear marmoset). RNAcentral's name for it is "lncRNA (ENSCJAG00000075806.1)". The record is from RNAcentral. Lineage: Eukaryota; Metazoa; Chordata; Mammalia; Primates; Cebidae.
CUCUUCUUCACAGUUCAAUAUGACUUCAUAUUAAUUUUUCUUGCAUGUGAUUUUGCCUAGAAUGCUGUACCAGUCAGUGCCUCCUCCUACUGUUAAAAAAAAAAAAACCCAAUCUCUUAUAUAAGCUCACUUGGCUGGUAGACAGGCUGGUUUUUAAAUGUGUGGUGCUUUCACCCUCCCACAGCAUUUGUAUCAGAGUACAACCCGAGGAGCAGAACCAAUGGGAAGUGUGUGUGUGUGUGUGUGUGUGUGUGCCCCAGGUCCACAGGUAAACAGUCAUCAAGGAAGAAUCCUGAGGGAAAAGAGAACAAUUGCAGCUCCAACUGUUGCAUCAUGCCAAUGAGGUCAAUCAGCAGAUCUGUGACAAAGAGGUGGAAACAGAGUCCAUCAUUGUCAGUGAGGAGGUAGCUCACAAAGCCCACUGGACCUUUGCAUUCAUCUCCUGCUGCUGGAGAAAGAAAAUUUCCUUAAACUCUUUUGAAAUGUUUAGAAUGUUAACUCAUCAGUUCUCCUGCGACUAUGAGUCAAGAGACAUUAGAAACAUUAGAAGAGUUCUACUGUUUCACAGUCUUAACUCAGAAAAUGCUCCAAAGGCAAUGCUCCAAACUCCAAGUGAAAAAGUUAUACAUGCAACUAUCUCUAAUUCAUCUUCAAGCUAGAUCUCCUUUCAACAUCUUCAAAACACAUCAGGUAACGCACUGGCUUCCCUUUGUUUCUUGGCU